Long non-coding RNA from Oreochromis niloticus (Nile tilapia), 1061 nucleotides. RefSeq lists it as uncharacterized. NCBI's taxonomy places the organism in Eukaryota, Metazoa, Chordata, Actinopteri, Cichliformes, Cichlidae. The record is from RefSeq and is a predicted model, not a curated record. The transcript is spliced from 3 exons.
CAGUGUUCGGCUGUUUUGGAUGUGUCAAGAAAUGUGCUUCCAGAUCUCGCUUCAGGCCAGACAAAGUGAGAGCAGCUGGUGAUCCCAGCAGAUAUAUUGUAUCCCAGCCUGUGAGCCACGGAGCAGUAAAAUCCUCGCUGAUUGCUCCUUUUAAAAGAGGUGGACGCGUUUCUGCUCCCGGAGGAGCUGCCGGCUGUUCUGCCAGCCGAGCGGCGGGUGAAUAACAGCGGGACUCAUUGUGCCUCGGCUCGGGCUCCACACCGCAGGCCAAAUUAAAAAUGACACGCAAUGAAAGAGCAAAGGAAACGAGUUUCCCCCAGAGAACAAUCUGGAAAAUUACCCUCCAUUCACACAGACAGGGGGAGUAUUGACAGAGUGUCACACUCGCUCACAGCCAAUCAGCUUUUGUUGCUUUCUAUCACAGCGGACUCAGAACAUCUGCUGCUCCUCAAACGCAACACCUGUGUCUGCGUGGAGCUCAGAGACGCCUUACUGGAACAGGUGCUGAUGCUCGUCAGGUGACCUAAAGCACCAGGACAGGAGGAGCAAACCCACAGCAUGUUUGUCCUCGUGUAGCUCUACACAGUCUGAGGUGUUCUUCGGUAAACCGGACCACCCGACAGAAGGACCCGAGGCCCCGCUGCACUUUUUUACUUCUUUUCUACAGUCACUUGGACCGACCUGCUGGAGCCUCUGCUGGACGUUAGAGGAACUGCAGUUUUUUGUCGUUUCCUGCAUGUUUUCUGUGAAAAGCCGACGUUUGGAUCCACUCAGAGUUCUAAAAUCCCGCACAGGCUUCUUUCUGCAUGAGGUCUUUUUCCAAACAGCUGCUUGUUGCUUGAAGAAAACAUUUUCCUACUUACUAAAUACUUUGCAGAAAGAUCUAAAUGUGAACACACCUUUUUUUCUGUGUUUUACACUUUUUAAAAUGCUGUGAGUUUAAAUGGCUGCUACCUUGCCAAGCCUCUCUUGUCUCUCUAAGAGAGAUGUGAUAUAUAAAAAAUAAAUAAUGGGAAGCACAGUUUGAAACGAUCGCUUCUGGCUGCUAUAAAAGGGAAGAA